RNAcentral lists this ribosomal RNA (518 nucleotides) under Paenibacillus sp. HGH0035. RNAcentral describes it as "bacterial SSU rRNA". It matches the Rfam family "Bacterial small subunit ribosomal RNA", at positions 80 to 581 of the family's 1533-position model. Lineage: Bacteria; Bacillati; Bacillota; Bacilli; Caryophanales; Paenibacillaceae. The record is from RNAcentral.
UUGCUUCUCUGAGAGUUAGCGGCGGACGGGUGAGUAACACGUAGGCAACCUGCCUGUAAGAUCGGGAUAACUACCGGAAACGGUAGCUAAGACCGGAUAAUCGGUAUCUCCGCAUGGAGAGAUCGUGAAACACGGAGCAAUCUGUGGCUUACGGAUGGGCCUGCGGCGCAUUAGCUAGUUGGUGAGGUAACGGCUCACCAAGGCGACGAUGCGUAGCCGACCUGAGAGGGUGAACGGCCACACUGGGACUGAGACACGGCCCAGACUCCUACGGGAGGCAGCAGUAGGGAAUCUUCCGCAAUGGACGCAAGUCUGACGGAGCAACGCCGCGUGAGUGAUGAAGGUUUUCGGAUCGUAAAGCUCUGUUGCCAGGGAAGAACGCCAAGGAGAGUAACUGCUCUUUGGGUGACGGUACCUGAGAAGAAAGCCCCGGCUAACUACGUGCCAGCAGCCGCGGUAAUACGUAGGGGGCAAGCGUUGUCCGGAAUUAUUGGGCGUAAAGCGCGCGCAGGCGGUUU